AUGAAGAGGCUGCUAUGCUCUCUGCUGGGGCUGCUGUGCUCCCAGGUUUGCUGGGUGAAAGGGCAACAAGUGGAGCAGAGUCCUGAGUCCUUGGUUCUGCAGGAGGGAGAGAGUGCAGACAUGCUGUGCAAAUUUUCCACCUCUGCAACCCAAGCGCAGUGGUUUCUCCAAAGUCCUGGGGGACACCUCAUCAGCCUGUUUUUCAAUCCUUCUGGGACAAAGCUGAGUGGAAGACUGACAUCCACGACAGUCGCUAAGGCAUAUCACAGCUCUUUGUACAUUUCCUCCUCCCAGACCACAGACUUGGGCACUUAUUUCUGUGUUGUUGCUAACACUGGUGCUAACACUGGAAAGCUGACAUUUGGACAAGGGACCAUCCUUAAGGUCCAUCCAAACAUCCAGGACCCAAAGCCAGCUGUGUACCAGCUGAGAGACCAUCAGUCCAAGAACAGUAGCAUCUGCCUGUUCACCGACUUCGGUUCUCAAAUCAAUGUGUCAAAGGAUGUGCCACCUGGUGUGUUUGUCUCUGACAAAACUGUGCUGGACAUGAGAUCUAUGGAUUCCAAGAGCAAUGCAGUCAUUGCCUGGAGCAACCAAACUAAUUUCAACUGUAAAGACACCCUCAAAGAGAAGGCCUCCUACCCCAGCUCAGAUGUUCCCUGCAAUGCCAAGUUGAUAGAGAAAAGCUUUGAAACAGAUAUGAACCUAAACUUUCAAAACCUAUCAGUGAUGGGACUCCGAAUCCUCCUCCUGAAAGUGGCGGGAUUUAACCUGCUCAUGACGCUGCGGCUGUGGUCCAGCUAAGGUCAAGACUGAAAGAGGCUGAACUCCGAGCUCCUUCCUCUUCAUCACCCCUCCCCUCUCUCUUCAAGCAAAAAGGAGCCCUCCCAUCUCAUAAAGAAGGCUCUCAGUCACAAGCCUGCCAACUGGAUCUCCUGAAUUUGUGAUGGAGAUUGCUGAAGAGCUGCUAAGUGCUACUGCACCCAAUCCACUCCCUUACUGCUGCUGGCCAUUCACAGGAAGGAGGGGCUGCUACUUCUCCUGGAUAUGAAGACCCCCCCAACCCUGACCUCACCACCACCUCCCAACCCACACCCAUUCCCUGUGGCAGAUCCCCAGCAGAAUCUCUUGGACCGCAGCUCCUGGAGAAUAUUGUAAAGACCAUGUUUUUGUUUUUGUUUUGUUUUUUAAAGCAUCACACAUUACUCUUUCCUCAAGAUGUAGAAAAGAUUGUCUCAUUGUCCAGCCCCUCCCUGCUACUGUGUGAAUCUGAGCCCUAUUGUAUAUAUGGUUCUGCUGUCCAUGGCUUCAUUAAAGAUGACUCAGAAAAGCAGAAA
Non-coding RNA from Phodopus roborovskii (desert hamster), 1337 nucleotides. NCBI's taxonomy places the organism in Eukaryota, Metazoa, Chordata, Mammalia, Rodentia, Cricetidae. The record is from the annotation of a RefSeq genome assembly.